This is a long non-coding RNA of Physeter macrocephalus (sperm whale), 943 nucleotides long. RefSeq lists it as uncharacterized. NCBI's taxonomy places the organism in Eukaryota, Metazoa, Chordata, Mammalia, Artiodactyla, Physeteridae. The record is from RefSeq and is a predicted model, not a curated record. The transcript is spliced from 4 exons.
CACCCCUAGAUCCUCGGUGAUUUCAGAACUGUUCUCUGCAGAACCAUCGUGAGGUCGGGGUGCCAUGGUGAAGUGAGUUUGAGGAGAGGGCUUGAGGCGGGACAAACGGAUUUCUGAACCGCAAGGAGUCUAGAGCCUUGACUGGCCUGCUGCGCUGUGUCCGAACCAGGAGCAUCUAAGCAACGCUUUGCAGCUGGGGGUGUGGUUGGAGCUAAAUGCUUAACUUGACCAUGAAAAAAAUCAGGACUGGAUUCUCAGAGAAGAAACAUUUUCAGGGGUUGUAGCUGCUGGGAGCGCCGUCAGAUGGUGGCCCUCAGCUGUUAGCCAGUGGAGUUUGCCGCAGCUAAAGGAGUCUGCCUGGUGAUCUGAAGAUCACACCUCCUUCCAGUGGCAACCUGCUUUGAAAGGCCCUCUUGCCCUAAUUUGGGACAACUCUGAAAGGCUGCCCCCCAGGCCCGGAGCCCCACAUGGGUUGGCUGAUGACUGUAUCACGCCUCCGCUUCUCCCUUUGUCUAACCCUGCUUCCCCCUUUCCCUUCACAAGUAUUGAUCCUGAGAGCGGCCCUUAAUCAGCUCCUUCCCUGGGAACACGACCUACAACAGCCCGUGAAACUUGGGUCGUGACCAGAUGAGAUAAUUUGUAUUUAUAGGCCGGUGAGGUCAAUGAACGACAAAACUUGGGUUAUGAAAAGUACUCCAUCUUAUUAAUACCAAACUGUAAUUAUGAGCAUCUUGCUAGUUGUCCAUUGAUUUUUUUUUUUUUUUUUUUAGCUGUCAGUUGAUUUUGGUUAAAAUGUACAUAUAGGGAGCAAAGGGGACUCUUCCUGAGAGUUCUUAAAUACUUGGCAGUCUGGACACACCUCACUUCAGAUGCCAGAUUUCCAACUCUGCUUGCAAUUCUCAGUUUGGAUUUUAGCCAUUUCAUAAAAGAGAAUGCAUUUUCA